Molecule: non-coding RNA, 1400 nt
Organism: Paralichthys olivaceus (Japanese flounder)
Lineage: Eukaryota; Metazoa; Chordata; Actinopteri; Pleuronectiformes; Paralichthyidae
Source: RefSeq, a predicted model, not a curated record
GGGGAGUGAGAGACGGCGUAAGCAGCAGUGAACAAGUCAAUUUUGGUUGGAGGUGGUUGGACAGGGGAGAGGCUGGAAAGAGAGAGGGAGGGUAAAAGAAGAGGGGGAGCAGGAGGAGGUAAAGACAAACUCCCUGAGAACUGGAGUUGGUAGCCAGAGAAAGUGAACACACACACACACAGCAGGAAGAGGAACAGUUGCAGCGCUGCUGAUCUGCUGAGAGAGUCAGAUUACCUCCAAACAUCCCGUCUGUGCAGGCUGAACUGAAGCAGGCUAAUUAGAUGAAGAGGUUGAGAGCAGCAGACUCGGCCACAAACAACCUCAAGAGAAACUAAGGGGAGUUGUCAAAGGAGGGGGAGGCUGAAAACAAGACGGGCGAGGGGUCUGAGGAGCUUCUACUGGGGGGGACGGUUCUGUGUACAACACACUGGUUCUCCUCUCAGAGAACAGUCAACAAGUGGAGUCUGUGUCACUUUUAAGAGCUUGUACAGCAAAGGUGCAGCAGUGUGAUCGAAGGCCCGUUUCCUUACUGCUCAUCUCCUUCCUUGUGUGAGUCAGCAUGAGCGUGAAAGAGGAGGUGCUGGAUAUUCUGCAGAAGUUGUCGACCAAACUUCAGGGUCUCCCACAGGCCAGCGCUCUGGAGCUGGGAGCCUUCUUUGUGCUUGUUCUGUUUGUUGCAACAUUUCUCUUCAUGGUCCUCCUGUCCUGUAUCCACUGCUGCUGCUGUGGUAAGCCAAAAUACCAGGCCUCCAGAGUUCAGCCUCUACAGCCUGUCUGAAGAGGAGAAAGAACAGACUCCACAAGAACCAUCGCCUCCAUCCAUCAUGUAAUCAUCCACAUUAUACAAGGAUUUUUUUUUUCAAUUCAUACAGAAGGAAAUAUAGAAAGAAAUCCAUGAAAGGAAGGGUGGGGACAUGUUUCCAUAUUUCCAGUUCUGGGGUACAGAGCCAUGUCACUGGGACCAUACAUUUUAAUACAGACUCAUGGAGAUUCAUCAACAACGAGGACAAUGAAACAGUGUGUGGCAGCUCACUCAACAGACAAAAACCUCACGGUGCAGUGGAUAAAAGACACAGUAGGAGAGCAGAUGAGUGCGUAAAUGUCACAUGAUUAAAUCCAGUGGUUUAAUGUCCUGCUCUUAUUCAUCAGGAAUGUGACAAACACAUUGGGAAAUAUGUAGAUAUUGUACAUAUAGUGGAUAUAGUAAAGAGAAUUAGAUGUAUUGUACAUUUUUCAAAUUGACAAUGUGACCUGGUCAUUGUUUCACAUCCAACACGUGUUGAUGGAUUCUUAUCGUGUUAUUACAUUGAAGUGUUACAUAUUUUUUUUACUGAGACAAUUUUUACUGGAGCAAUGUUGCUUUGUUUCUUCUCUGUAAAUGUAUUAAAUGUUCAAUAUUU